CAGGAGAUAGUUUAAUAAAAAUAUUAAUUUUGGAGAUUAAUGAUAAAGAAAUUUCUUUUCUCUUGA
RNAcentral lists this transfer RNA (66 nucleotides) under Fannia scalaris. RNAcentral describes it as "tRNA-Pro". Lineage: Eukaryota; Metazoa; Arthropoda; Insecta; Diptera; Fanniidae. The record is from RNAcentral.